RNA transcript from Rosa chinensis, 768 nucleotides. It is a transcript of the gene named protein NUCLEAR FUSION DEFECTIVE 6, mitochondrial, with no coding region annotated. The transcript has 4 exons. NCBI's taxonomy places the organism in Eukaryota, Viridiplantae, Streptophyta, Magnoliopsida, Rosales, Rosaceae. The record is from RefSeq and is a predicted model, not a curated record.
GGGGGGCUCUGGGUGUUUUGAAGUGAUCUCCGAAUCUUUACACUACUACUUGAACCCCUAAAACCCUCUGAAAUGGCCGCCUCAACCGCCGCCAGAUCCAUUUUCCGGUCCUGCGCCGGCCGAAGCUGCGCCUCAGCGGCUCGGUUCGCCACUGAAGCGAAAGCUGCUCGCUCACCGUUUCGCAUCGGAGCCAAGCAACCUACAUCAUCCCCCGCUCUCAGGUGUCCUGUUGAAUUGAGCUUCUGUGUGGAGUCGAUGCUGCCCUACCACACUGCCACGGCUUCGGCUUUGAUGACUUCCAUGCUUUCCAUCACUCGCCGCAGUUACGGUUGGCUUCCGGAAGGUAUCUAGCGAACACUUGUAUGGUCCGUUGAUGUCGUUGUCUUCCUUCUAAUUUUCUGAUUCUUGAUGAAUGCAGAUCCAUCCCUUCCAUUCCUGAGCUGACUUCAAACACCAUCCAUUUCAUUUGAUCACCUUUGUAAUAGAGCAGCAAAGACGUUCUACACUCAUCACACAUACAUUAUGUUUCCCUCCUGUCUAGUUUUCUCUUGCUUGCAUUCCUCUUGAAAUUGGGGUGCAGUCAAUGCUUGCAUCUCUCUGUUUGAGCACAUUAACAAACGCAUAGUUUAAUGGCAGUUUACUCUGCAUGUAACAGUGGUUAUUUAAUGGAAAAAUGUGGUCUAGGCAUAGUUCUUGGUGCUUGGAGUCUUUAUUCUUAUGUUUUUGUGGGUCAAGACCUUUGAAUAAUAAUCAAGAUCUCUUCCAUCA